UGGUGGUGAUAACGAAGAGGAAAUACCUGUUCCCAUGCCGAACACAGAAGUCAAGCUCUUUAGUGCUGAAGAUACUUGUGGGUUACCCUGCUGGAAAAAUAAGAAGUCGCC
Molecule: ribosomal RNA, 111 nt
Filed under: bovine gut metagenome
Source: RNAcentral